RNAcentral lists this long non-coding RNA (502 nucleotides) under Danio rerio (zebrafish). RNAcentral describes it as "lncRNA (ENSDARG00000117553.1)". The record is from RNAcentral. Lineage: Eukaryota; Metazoa; Chordata; Actinopteri; Cypriniformes; Danionidae.
GAUUUAACAGCGGCGCUCGGCAAGGAGGCGUUGCUUUUCUCUGAACUCCUCUGAGUUCUGCUCACCAUGGAGACCGACCACUUAUUCCAGCUCACGGGUGUCAAAUCGCACGUUAAUCCCCGAAUCCGCGAGCUGCAAAUUGCAGGGUAACACAGGAGAAGCCAUUUGGUCCUUUCAUUGUUUUCAGAAAGAGGCAAAGACCGUGUUUAUCAGAGAUGCUGGAUGGAAUCUGAUCAUUCCUCGCUUCUUCUCCCACUUUUUACAGCCCAGAGUCCAGGUCUCUGUUUCUCCCCCACAUUUAUUUGGCUCUAGAAUCUCUGGAAAGAAGCUCUUAUAGGCGUUUCCUGCGAUUGUGUGGCCUAAGCACAUUUGGAUUUCAUCUUGUUCAUCCACCACCCGCGGCGGGACUGACAUCUAUUUUACACCCAGGUAAUAUCGGCAGCAAAAUCAUCAACUGUCACAACUGUACACACAAAUACACACCGGAUAGAUUGCUCGCCAU